Canis lupus familiaris (dog) is the source of this 821-nucleotide long non-coding RNA. RefSeq lists it as uncharacterized. The transcript has 3 exons. Lineage: Eukaryota; Metazoa; Chordata; Mammalia; Carnivora; Canidae. The record is from RefSeq and is a predicted model, not a curated record.
UUCUCUGCAUCUCGGUGGCCGGGGCUGGAAGGAAGCUGAAGCCGCAACCCCAAGUCAGCCCCCGCUGCCCCGUCCCACCGCCUCAUCUCUCCCCCCUCGGAGCUGGACUGCCUCCUCCCCCUACUUCUCCUACACUCACCAGUUGCAGCAGGGUGAUUUCUGAAGAAAUUGAAUUCAUUAGGAUUUUUAUGGAUAAUUAUAGUUGCAAUAUGCUUGGAGUCAUCCUAUUAAGGCACUUAUGAGUUCUCAAGUUCCAUCUGAGUUCCCAAGAACACAUCUACUGUGUAAAGAGGGAAACUUUGCUCUUUCUACUGUGCUUGUGAAAGCUUCUGUCCUAAGAAUUGCUAAUGGCAACACAGGCAGCCUGCAGAGAAUCAAAGGACAAGCCAAUCUGGACCUCCAGCAGCUCUUUGAUUUUUCUUCUUUUUGUAACUCUUGUUUUCUGUAACUCAAAGGAAAUGUCAGGUAUGGUCAUUAUUGUCUAUGAGGGCAAGAUGUCUAAAGAGAUAGAUAUGACAAGCUGUUCUCUCUGUUAGGAGUACUUUUCAUCUUCCUUCUGUAGCUAGCUGAGUCACAGAGAGUCUCCAUUAAUGGCCCCCAACUACAAUCAUAUACCCAAUUCUGAAAGCAUGCAUUCCACUAACAGAUAUGUUCUUUAUCUUCCCCAACUUUUGCUUUAUUCUUGCCCUUUAGUUGCCAACUCUACAGAACAGGGCAUCCAUUAUCUGUUCAGUUUGUUAAAAUGAAUCAUACACUUCCAGUGAGAUUUCAGGGAUGUUAUGGUUACCUGCCACUAUUACCUGUAUACUGUCUGCUCAUGA